GGUAAACGAUGGGGAUGCGUUCCAUUAGGUAGUAGGCGGGGUAACGGCCCACCUAGCCUGCGAUGGAUAGGGGUUCUGAGAGGAAGAUCCCCCACAUUGGAACUGAGACACGGUCCAAACUCCUACGGGAGGCAGCAGUGAGGAAUAUUGGUCAAUGGGCGAGAGCCUGAACCAGCCAAGUAGCGUGAAGGAUGAAGGUCCUACGGAUUGUAAACUUCUUUUAUACGGGAAUAAAGUAUCCUACGUGUAGGAUUUUGUAUGUACCGUACGAAUAAGCAUCGGCUAACUCCGUGCCAGCAGCCGCGGUAAUACGGAGGAUGCGAGCGUUAUCCGGAUUUAUUGGGUUUAAAGGGAGCGCAGACGGGAGAUUAAGUCAGUUGUGAAAGUUUGCGGCUCAACCGUAAAAUUGCAGUUGAUACUGGUUUCCUUGAGUGCAGUUGAGGCAGGCGGAAUUCGUGGUGUAGCGGUGAAAUGCUUAGAUAUCACGAAGAACCCCGAUUGCGAAGGCAGCUUGCUAAACUGUAACUGACGUUCAUGCUAGAAAGUGUGGGUAUCAAACAGGAUUAGAUACCCUGGUAGUCCACACGGUAAACGAUGGAUACUGGCUGUUGGCGAUAUACUGUCAGCGGCCAAGCGAAAGCAUUAAGUAUCCCACCUGGGGAGUACGCCGGCAACGGUGCAACUCAAAUGAAUUGACGGA
RNAcentral lists this ribosomal RNA (700 nucleotides) under uncultured Bacteroidota bacterium. RNAcentral's name for it is "bacterial SSU rRNA". It matches the Rfam family "Bacterial small subunit ribosomal RNA", at positions 217 to 917 of the family's 1533-position model. Lineage: Bacteria; Pseudomonadati; Bacteroidota. The record is from RNAcentral.